CAAAGGUGCAUCUCAGGGCUGUAUGCUUAGCCUCCCGCAUGAACUGAGUGCCAAAGGACAACUCCAAAGCCAUCUUCAAAUUUGUUGAUGACGCUACUGUAAUUGGAUGAAUCACAAGUAGUGCUGCAAGAAGCGGCCUUCUUCAGUAGGAGGUUUCUGUCAUGGUCUGCUCAUGAAGGACCAGGUGUGGAGGAACAGCAGGAUCCUCAGAGAAGAGGCAGGAGGUUAAACAUCAGAAUCAGAGCCUCUGAGGAGCGCCAGAGUGACACCACAAGAUUUACAGUAUCCUGCUGGAAGGCCAGACCAGCAGAUUGAAGUAGCUGCUAAGGAAAACAAUCAUCAGAUCUGCAUUUAUUAUUUCUGGGGUGGACAAAUCCGUUUUGUGCACUUGAUUGGAAGAAGUGCAAGUGAAGAGUUGCUUGGGGCCUUGGAUGGUGGGGUGGGUUAAGAGCUAAAAGGACUGGAUAUUACAUAUCCUGUGGUUUACAUUUUAACGAGCCAACUUACUGAUCUCUCAGAAGCAAGAAUGCUAAAUAAUAUAAAAUAAAAAAUAACUGUAAAUGUCAAAAAUCUGAUUUUAACUUGCAUAGGCAAGUCAAAACUACAUUGGUUUUUAUAGAAGUUACAGCAUAAAAUAGGAUAUCAAUCCUACUCUCCACUGGUCUUGUGCUCCACACAAACCUGCUCCUACACAUCCAAAUUGAUCCAUAUAUUCUUCUAUUUCUUUCCCAUUCAUCAGCUUACUGUUUACUUCAAUGCAUACAGGCUACUCUACUCUAGGAACAACUUUUGAACGACAGAUGGUAAGAUGAACUUGAAUUCAGUUAAGGUGAAGUAAGCCCAUGCUAAUUUUAUGUUUAAACAUAAUUUAAGCUUUUUGCCAUGAAAUGUUCUUUCUGUAGGUAGAAAAAUCAUUUCAUGGCAACCUAAGGAAUUUCCUUACAGU
This is a long non-coding RNA of Hypanus sabinus (Atlantic stingray), 946 nucleotides long. RefSeq lists it as uncharacterized. The record is from RefSeq and is a predicted model, not a curated record. Lineage: Eukaryota; Metazoa; Chordata; Chondrichthyes; Myliobatiformes; Dasyatidae. The transcript has 3 exons.